RNAcentral lists this ribosomal RNA (253 nucleotides) under uncultured bacterium. RNAcentral's name for it is "partial 16S ribosomal RNA". It matches the Rfam family "Bacterial small subunit ribosomal RNA", at positions 524 to 776 of the family's 1533-position model. The record is from RNAcentral.
UACGUAGGUGGCAAGCGUUGUCCGGAUUUAUUGGGUUUAAAGGGUGCGUAGGCGGUCUUAUAAGUCAGUGCUGAAAUAUCCCGGCUUAACCGGGGGGGUGGCAUUGAUACUGUAGGACUUGAGUAAAGUUGAGGUUGGCGGAAUUGACGGUGUAGCGGUGAAAUGCUUAGAUAUCGUCAAGAACACCUAUUGCGGAGGCAGCUAACUAAGCUUUAACUGACGCUGAGGAGCGAAAGCGUGGGGAGCGAACAGG